The sequence is a small nuclear RNA, 116 nucleotides long. Its record names the gene U5. It matches the Rfam family "U5 spliceosomal RNA". Rfam says of the family: U5 RNA is a component of both types of known spliceosome. The record is from Ensembl.
ACACUCUUGUUUCUCUUCAAAGCGUAUAAAUCUUUCGCCUUUUACUAAAGAUUUCCGUGGGGAGGACUAUUAUGAGUAUAAAUUAAUUUUUUGAUGCCCUGCUUUAUUGUGGGGCG